GACGAACGCUGGCGGCGUGCUUAACACAUGCAAGUCGAACGAUGAACCCGGAGCUUGCUCCGGCGGAUUAGUGGCGAACGGGUGAGUAACACGUGAGUAACCUGCCCUUGACUCUGGGAUAACUGCUAGAAAUGGUAGCUAAUACCGGAUACGACCCUCGGUGGCAUCACCAGGGGGUGGAAAGAAUUUCGGUCAAGGAUGGACUCGCGGCCUAUCAGCUAGUUGGUGAGGUAACGGCUCACCAAGGCGACGACGGGUAGCCGGCCUGAGAGGGUGACCGGCCACACUGGGACUGAGACACGGCCCAGACUCCUACGGGAGGCAGCAGUGGGGAAUCUUGCGCAAUGGGCGAAAGCCUGACGCAGCAACGCCGCGUGCGGGAUGAAGGCCUUCGGGUUGUAAACCGCUUUCAGGAGGGACGAAGCCACUCGGGUUAACAGCCCAGAGGGUGACGGUACCUCCAGAAGAAGCACCGGCUAAC
RNAcentral lists this ribosomal RNA (481 nucleotides) under uncultured bacterium. RNAcentral's name for it is "partial 16S ribosomal RNA". It matches the Rfam family "Bacterial small subunit ribosomal RNA", at positions 28 to 501 of the family's 1533-position model. The record is from RNAcentral.